Molecule: ribosomal RNA, 1385 nt
Filed under: Klebsiella sp. IX
Lineage: Bacteria; Pseudomonadati; Pseudomonadota; Gammaproteobacteria; Enterobacterales; Enterobacteriaceae
Description: bacterial SSU rRNA
Rfam family: Bacterial small subunit ribosomal RNA
Source: RNAcentral
GGUAGCACAGAGAGCUUGCUCUCGGGUGACGAGCGGCGGACGGGUGAGUAAUGUCUGGGAAACUGCCUGAUGGAGGGGGAUAACUACUGGAAACGGUAGCUAAUACCGCAUAACGUCGCAAGACCAAAGUGGGGGACCUUCGGGCCUCAUGCCAUCAGAUGUGCCCAGAUGGGAUUAGCUGGUAGGUGGGGUAACGGCUCACCUAGGCGACGAUCCCUAGCUGGUCUGAGAGGAUGACCAGCCACACUGGAACUGAGACACGGUCCAGACUCCUACGGGAGGCAGCAGUGGGGAAUAUUGCACAAUGGGCGCAAGCCUGAUGCAGCCAUGCCGCGUGUGUGAAGAAGGCCUUCGGGUUGUAAAGCACUUUCAGCGGGGAGGAAGGCGGUGAGGUUAAUAACCUCACCGAUUGACGUUACCCGCAGAAGAAGCACCGGCUAACUCCGUGCCAGCAGCCGCGGUAAUACGGAGGGUGCAAGCGUUAAUCGGAAUUACUGGGCGUAAAGCGCACGCAGGCGGUCUGUCAAGUCGGAUGUGAAAUCCCCGGGCUCAACCUGGGAACUGCAUUCGAAACUGGCAGGCUAGAGUCUUGUAGAGGGGGGUAGAAUUCCAGGUGUAGCGGUGAAAUGCGUAGAGAUCUGGAGGAAUACCGGUGGCGAAGGCGGCCCCCUGGACAAAGACUGACGCUCAGGUGCGAAAGCGUGGGGAGCAAACAGGAUUAGAGAUACCCUGGUAGUCCACGCUGUAAACGAUGUCGAUUUGGAGGUUGUGCCCUUGAGGCGUGGCUUCCGGAGCUAACGCGUUAAAUCGACCGCCUGGGGAGUACGGCCGCAAGGUUAAAACUCAAAUGAAUUGACGGGGGCCCGCACAAGCGGUGGAGCAUGUGGUUUAAUUCGAUGCAACGCGAAGAACCUUACCUGGUCUUGACAUCCACAGAACUUUGCAGAGAUGGUUUGGUGCCUUCGGGAACUGUGAGACAGGUGCUGCAUGGCUGUCGUCAGCUCGUGUUGUGAAAUGUUGGGUUAAGUCCCGCAACGAGCGCAACCCUUAUCCUUUGUUGCCAGCGGUUAGGCCGGGAACUCAAAGGAGACUGCCAGUGAUAAACUGGAGGAAGGUGGGGAUGACGUCAAGUCAUCAUGGCCCUUACGACCAGGGCUACACACGUGCUACAAUGGCAUAUACAAAGAGAAGCGACCUCGCGAGAGCAAGCGGACCUCAUAAAGUAUGUCGUAGUCCGGAUUGGAGUCUGCAACUCGACUCCAUGAAGUCGGAAUCGCUAGUAAUCGUAGAUCAGAAUGCUACGGUGAAUACGUUCCCGGGCCUUGUACACACCGCCCGUCACACCAUGGGAGUGGGUUGCAAAAGAAGUAGGUAGCUUAACCUUC